This is a long non-coding RNA of Mastomys coucha (southern multimammate mouse), 1861 nucleotides long. RefSeq lists it as uncharacterized. The record is from RefSeq and is a predicted model, not a curated record. The transcript has 3 exons. NCBI's taxonomy places the organism in Eukaryota, Metazoa, Chordata, Mammalia, Rodentia, Muridae.
GGAAGCAACAAGAAACUGCAGCACACCACCAGAUUAUUUUGGUGCAUUUCUUUCUAAGGAGUCCAGACAAAUGCAGCUCCACUAUGCAAUGUCAACUGAAACCACAAACAUUUAAAGAAUAAUCACACUGUCGUCUCUUGAAGGAAUAUCACUCAAGAAACACUACUACCUCCAAGAAAAAUGUCAUGAGGGUUUGCAGAAAACACGAAACCUUGGGGAGAGAAUCUCAAUAAGCUUCUUCAAAAAUGCAGUGUUGCUCCUUUGCAGUCUGCUGUCUCCUGCUGGCCAUAAAUGUAAUUACAGCCAAGCUUACAGGAAGUCAUGGGAAAUGUCUAAAAGAGGCAAGAAUUUGAAAUGACAUAAAGCACCAUCUUUCAAUUCUAAAAAUAAAGUAUUUACAGAUGAAAGUCACAAGCAAGAACAAACAUAGUAAUUAAAACAAAACAAGCAAAAACAAACAAACAAACAACUCCCCCACCCCAGCUAAGUGGAAAGGAAAGAAUGAGGAAAAGAGAAAGGGACGUAGUAGGAAGAAAUGCAAUUUGCACGUAGAGUCAAUGAUGGUAUAUACAGAUGAUUAUGAAUUCCUCAGGCCUACCUAGAAGAAAAUUCAUCCAGAAGUAAUGGAUGUACCUUAACAGGAUGAUGGUGUUCCACACAGGGAUUGGAUACAUGAAAUAAACCUUUCUGUCCUAGUUUAAGAGGGAAUAUGAUUUUUUAAAAAAGUGUUCUGCAAUGUAUGACAACUGAUCAUUUCUCUUGGGAUUUCUCUUUUUAUCACAGCCAGUACAACCCAAUCAUAAUAUAGUAUCUAUAAGGGCAAACAAACCAAUAAGAUGAACUUUAAUUUGAUUCAGAUGAGAGAUCUAUAAUGCAAAAUUAUUUUUUUAUCACCAUAAAACUGUCAAGGACCUUGAAGUUAAGGAAGUUAAGACUCACUCUUAAGGGUGUGUAGUUAAAGCAUGACAGAUCUUCAGGACUUCAGAACCCAUAACCCACACUUUUCCCUUUGUAUCUUGACUACUUAUUUCUUUCCAUCUUAAAGUCUAUACUUCUUGGUAUUGUAUUAGGAGGCCUCCAAGAUUUCUAUGACUUUUCUGGUCUUCAGUGACUAAUUGUAAGCACUUAAUCUUUAAACUACAGAUGAUUCUGAGGUGAAUUGUAUUCACAAGUGCUAUAUACUUAGAAUGUUUGAAGCCAUUCUGGACAGGAAUCACAUACAGAGAUGUUAAUGAACCAUCAGAAACCUAUGGCCUUGAUAGCCUGAGAAUUGAUUGGUUACCUAGCCAAUUAUUCCUAGUCAAAUUUCCCCUACAAUGCCACAAUUUUUAUCACAGGAAUUUUAAAAGGGAGGAUUUCUAAGCCUGGGAAUAAGUCAUCAAAUUAGAGCAGAGGUAAUGAACAUGGCUUGGAGAUGUGGAAUGAUAUCACAGUCACGAAGCAGCAAAGGGCAGUUGGGAAGGGAGGACCUGAGCUGCUUCCUCAUUGUUUUUCCAUUCUGUCUGCAGUUCAUUGUGUUCUUGAAAGUGUUACUUUUGCAGUACCUAAUGAAUGAUACAUCAAGGCCUGCCAUGAAACUGUAGGGAGAAACUCUAUGGUAUGACUCAUGAGCCGUGCUGUAUUACAGAUCUUUUCUCAUUAGUCUGAUUAAAAACCUAAGCUCAUUAUGGCUCAGGAAGUGAUUUGGUUUCAAUGCCUUUUGGUUAUGUUCCUUUCUUAUUUUCUAGGAGCACAUAUUUUGGCUAAGAAAUCAUUUUCUAUUUUAAAUGGUUCUAAAUUUCAACUCUUAAAUGUGUGCUCAUUAUCAUAUCAUUCAAACCUGCAAAGGUUCUUUUUUGUACUUUUAAGAACUAUUUAAAAA